Molecule: ribosomal RNA, 233 nt
Filed under: uncultured bacterium
Lineage: Bacteria
Description: partial 16S ribosomal RNA
Rfam family: Bacterial small subunit ribosomal RNA
Source: RNAcentral
CAGACCUACGGGAGGCAGCAGUAGGGAAUCUUCCACAAUGGACGAAAGUCUGAUGGAGCAACGCCGCGUGAGUGAAGAAGGGUUUCGGCUCGUAAAGCUCUGUUGGUAGUGCAGAAAGAUAGAGGUAGUAACUGGCCUUUAUUUGACGGUAAUUACUUCGAAAGUCACGGCUAACUACCUGCCAGCAGCCGCGGUAAUACGUAGGUGGCAAGCGUUGUCCGGAUUUAUUGGUC